AGAGUUUGUAUCCUGGCUCAGGAUGAACGCCGGCGGUGUGCCUAAUACAUGCAAGUCGUACGCGUUGGCCCAACUAAUUUGAAGUGCUUGCACGGAUCUGACGUUGGUUUACCAACGAGUGGCGGACGGGUGAGUAACACGUAGGUAACCUGCCCAGAAGCGGGGGACAACACUUGGAAACAGGUGCUAAUACCGCAUAACAAUUCAAAUCGCAUGAUUUGAAUUUGAAAGAUGGUUUCGGCUAUCACUUCUGGAUGGACCUGCGGCGCAUUAGCUUGUUGGUGGGGUAACGGCCUACCAAGGCAGUGAUGCGUAGCCGAGUUGAGAGACUGAUCGGCCACAAUGGGACUGAGACACGGCCCAUACUCCUACGGGAGGCAGCAGUAGGGAAUCUUCCACAAUGGGCGCAAGCCUGAUGGAGCAACACCGCGUGAGUGAAGAAGGUUUUCGGAUCGUAAAGCUCUGUUGUUGAAGAAGAACGUGCAUGAGAGUAACUGUUCAUGCAGUGACGGUAUUCAACCAGAAAGUCACGGCUAACUACGUGCCAGCAGCCGCGGUAAUACGUAGGUGGCAAGCGUUAUCCGGAUUUAUUGGGCGUAAAGAGGGUGCAGGCGGUUUCUUAAGUCUGAUGUGAAAGCCUUCGGCUUAACCGAAGAAGUGCAUCAGAUACUGGGAAACUUGAGUGCAGAAGAGGAAAGUGGAACUCCAUGUGUAGCGGUGAAAUGCGUAGAUAUAUGGAAGAACACCAGUGGCGAAGGCGGCUUUCUGGUCUGUAACUGACGCUGAGGCUCGAAAGUAUGGGGAGCGAACAGGAUUAGAUACCCUGGUAGUCCAUACCGUAAACGAUGAAUGCU
RNAcentral lists this ribosomal RNA (854 nucleotides) under uncultured bacterium. RNAcentral's name for it is "bacterial SSU rRNA". It matches the Rfam family "Bacterial small subunit ribosomal RNA", at positions 8 to 817 of the family's 1533-position model. The record is from RNAcentral.